Molecule: ribosomal RNA, 483 nt
Filed under: uncultured bacterium
Lineage: Bacteria
Description: partial 16S ribosomal RNA
Rfam family: Bacterial small subunit ribosomal RNA
Source: RNAcentral
AUUGAACGCUGGCGGCAGGCCUAACACAUGCAAGUCGAGCGGAUGAAGGGAGCUUGCUCCUGGAUUCAGCGGCGGACGGGUGAGUAAUGCCUAGGAAUCUGCCUGGUAGUGGGGGAUAACGUCCGGAAACGGGCGCUAAUACCGCAUACGUCCUGAGGGAGAAAGUGGGGGAUCUUCGGACCUCACGCUAUCAGAUGAGCCUAGGUCGGAUUAGCUAGUUGGUGGGGUAAAGGCCUACCAAGGCGACGAUCCGUAACUGGUCUGAGAGGAUGAUCAGUCACACUGGAACUGAGACACGGUCCAGACUCCUACGGAGGCAGCAGUGGGGAAUAUUGGACAAUGGGCGAAAGCCUGAUCCAGCCAUGCCGCGUGUGUGAAGAAGGUCUUCGGAUUGUAAAGCACUUUAAGUUGGGAGGAAGGGCAGUAAGUUAAUACCUUGCUGUUUUGACGUUACCAACAGAAUAAGCACCGGCUAACUUCGUG